This is a long non-coding RNA of Numida meleagris (helmeted guineafowl), 754 nucleotides long. RefSeq lists it as uncharacterized. The record is from RefSeq and is a predicted model, not a curated record. Lineage: Eukaryota; Metazoa; Chordata; Aves; Galliformes; Numididae. The transcript has 4 exons.
GGCAGUACAUGAAGUAAACUGAGCUGUUCUCCAGUAGCAACCCAGAAAGACUCUUGGAUUUUGCACCAUGUUCAUAAUUUUCGGUGCAGCAAGAUCAGCACAGUGAGUGGAUAUCCAUACAGUCUGCCUGCUUCACGUGGCGAUGUAGAGUGUGCUUGGCUUGGUUCAGAUACCAGAUUGAACAAAGAGAAGACCUUUCUACUGCAGGAAGAACCACGAGUGCAAGCUUGCAGUAACUGCACAUGUCCAUGGGGACAGAUCUCCUGCUCUGCGGCGUUAGAGGAAGGGCUCAUCUGACUUCCAGGAGCCCUGGCCAGAGCAUGCUCCUUGUACAGCCCUGUUGCAGCACGGCCUACCAUGGAGGGCAAACCUGCCCUGCGCUCACAGCCCAUCCCCAGGAGCUGGUUUCUCCAAGGCUGCUGCAGGGUGUAAGGAGCUGUUGUUGGGAAACUGCUGCACUCUGUGCCUGACCCAAAACUGGGCGUGCCAGGGGGAGACCUCUUGCUGACUCCUCCAAACUUCUCAUCAGUGUUCUCCCACUUGCCGGCGGUGGCAAUUCUGUUUUGCAAGCACUCCAGUCACCUUUGCUGCUUCUGACUUCAAUCUGGUUUUACAUGGCUGGAGAUUGUCCUAGUGCGAUGCAGAAGUCUCCCUAUAAAGGCUAACCCUUGCCCUCCUUGCCAAAGCAAACAUUCCUACAAAGCAGUGGAAUCACUCUCACAGUCAAUAAAAUUUUCUUCCAUAUCAUGCUACA